Molecule: transfer RNA, 70 nt
Filed under: Labrus bergylta (ballan wrasse)
Lineage: Eukaryota; Metazoa; Chordata; Actinopteri; Labriformes; Labridae
Description: tRNA-Pro
Rfam family: tRNA
About the family: Transfer RNA (tRNA) molecules are approximately 80 nucleotides in length.
Source: RNAcentral
CAAAGAAUAGUCUAACUAAGGAUCCUAGCUUUGGGAGUUAGGGGCGGGAGUUAAAAUCUCUCUUCUUUGA